RNAcentral lists this ribosomal RNA (98 nucleotides) under Pteropus alecto (black flying fox). Lineage: Eukaryota; Metazoa; Chordata; Mammalia; Chiroptera; Pteropodidae. The record is from RNAcentral.
GUCUACAGCCAUGCCACCCCGAACAAGCCCAAUCCCGUCUGAUCUUGGAAGCUAAGCAGGGUCGGGCCUGGUUAGGACAAUUCCAGGUGCUGUAGGUG